CAGCAGCCGCGGGGAAUACGAGGGGGGCAAGCGUUGUUCGGAUUUAUUGGGCGUAAAGGGUGCGUAGGCGGUUUGGCAAGUCUUGUGUGAAAUCUUCGGGCUCAACCCGAAGCCUGCACGAGAAACUACCGGGCUUGAGUAGUGGAGAGGUGAGUGGAAUUUCCGGUGUAGCGGUGAAAUGCGUAGAUAUCGGAAGGAACACCUGUGGCGAAAGCGGCUCACUGGACACUAACUGACGCUGAGGCACGAAAGCUAGGGGAGCAAACAGGAUUAGAUACCCCAGUAGUCCCUGUCUCUUAUU
This 301-nucleotide ribosomal RNA is filed under the name uncultured bacterium. Its description in RNAcentral is "partial 16S ribosomal RNA". It matches the Rfam family "Bacterial small subunit ribosomal RNA", at positions 509 to 808 of the family's 1533-position model. The record is from RNAcentral.